This 443-nucleotide ribosomal RNA is filed under the name uncultured bacterium. Its description in RNAcentral is "SSU rRNA". It matches the Rfam family "Bacterial small subunit ribosomal RNA", at positions 26 to 518 of the family's 1533-position model. The record is from RNAcentral.
AGAGCGAACGCUGGCGGCAGGCCUAACACAUGCAAGUCGAGCGCCCCGCAAGGGGAGCGGCAGACGGGAGAGUAACACGUGGGAACGUACCCUUUGGUUCGGAACAACACAGGGAAACUUGUGCUAAUACCGGAUAAGCCCUUACGGGGAAAGAUUUAUUGCCAAAGGAUCGGCCCGCGUCUGAUUAGCUUGUUGGUGAGGUAACGGCUCACCAAGGCUACGAUCAGUAGCUGGUCUGAGAGGAUGAUCAGCCUCACUGGGACUGAGACACGGCCCAGACUCCUACGGGAGGCAGCAGUGGGGAAUAUUGGACAAUGGGCGAAAGCCUGAUCCAGCAAUGCCGCGUGGGUGAAGAAGGUCUUCGGGAUUGUAAAUCCCUUUCGGCGGGACGAUGAUGACGGUACCGCAGAAGAAGCUCCGGCUAACUUCGUGCCAGCAGCCGC